GGGAGGGGAUGGCCACUCCUCCAGUUAAACAAACAGUCGGGUUUGCUAUCCACAGUCAUCGACUCGCGUGGGAGCCCUGGGGCUGAGCGGUGGCUCUCUCCUCGCCCGCGUCAAGGAAGAAGGAGCGAGUGAGCGAGCGCAGGACACGUCGUCCUGCUGGGGACAGAGCGACCGUCAGCCGCGGGGGACUGGGGAAGACGCCGGAGCCGCCCGGAGCGCCCCGCCUGUCUAGACUUGGAGCCUGCGUAUGCCCUCGGGAAGAGGAGGAGGAGGGAGGCGGUGGCCGCGCAGCGCAUCGAGUAUUGGUCUCUGUGCCUGAUCCUGCCCCACAAAUCCUGGAACCAGUGUCUGUCAGCAAUGAGAGAUGA
Molecule: long non-coding RNA, 368 nt
Filed under: Phascolarctos cinereus (koala)
Lineage: Eukaryota; Metazoa; Chordata; Mammalia; Diprotodontia; Phascolarctidae
Description: lncRNA (ENSPCIG00000007486.2)
Source: RNAcentral